RNAcentral lists this ribosomal RNA (451 nucleotides) under uncultured bacterium. RNAcentral's name for it is "bacterial SSU rRNA". It matches the Rfam family "Bacterial small subunit ribosomal RNA", at positions 329 to 793 of the family's 1533-position model. The record is from RNAcentral.
CCCCAGACUCCUACGGGAGGCAGCAGUGGGGAAUAUUGGGCAAUGGGCGCAAGCCUGACCCAGCAACGCCGCGUGAAGGAAGAAGGCUUUCGGGUUGUAAACUUCUUUUAAGAGGGAAGAGUAGAAGACGGUACCUCUUGAAUAAGCCACGGCUAACUACGUGCCAGCAGCCGCGGUAAUACGUAGGUGGCAAGCGUUAUCCGGAUUUACUGGGUGUAAAGGGCGUGUAGGCGGGACUGCAAGUCAGAUGUGAAACCCAUGGGCUCAACCCAUGGCCUGCAUUUGAAACUGUAGUUCUUGAGUGAUGGAGAGGCAGGCGGAAUUCCGUGUGUAGCGGUGAAAUGCGUAGAUAUACGGAGGAACACCAGUGGCGAAGGCGGCCUGCUGGACAUUAACUGACGCUGAGGCGCGAAAGCGUGGGGAGCAAACAGGAUUAGAUACCCCCGUACCG